UGGGGAAUAUUGCACAAUGGGCGAAAGCCUGAUGCAGCAACGCCGCGUGAGGGACGACGGCCUUCGGGUUGUAAACCUCUUUUAGCAAGGAAGAAGCGAAAGUGACGGUACUUGCAGAAAAAGCGCCGGCUAACUACGUGCCAGCAGCCGCGGUAAUACGUAGGGCGCAAGCGUUAUCCGGAAUUAUUGGGCGUAAAGAGCUCGUAGGCGGUUUGUCGCGUCUGCUGUGAAAACCCGAGGCUCAACCUCGGGCCUGCAGUGGGUACGGGCAGACUAGAGUGCGGUAGGGGAGAUUGGAACUCCUGGUGUAGCGGUGGAAUGCGCAGAUAUCAGGAAGAACACCGAUGGCGAAGGCAGAUCUCUGGGCCGUAACUGACGCUGAGGAGCGAAAGGGUGGGGAGCAAACAGGCUUAGAUACCCUGGUAGUCCACCCCGUAAACGUUGGGAACUAGUUGUGGGGUCCAUUCCACGGAUUCCGUGACGCAGCUAACGCAUUAAGUUCCCCGCCUGGGGAGUACGGCCGCAAGGCUAAAACUCAAAGGAAUUGACGGGGUCAUAGCUGUUUCC
This 567-nucleotide ribosomal RNA is filed under the name uncultured bacterium. RNAcentral describes it as "partial 16S ribosomal RNA". It matches the Rfam family "Bacterial small subunit ribosomal RNA", at positions 355 to 937 of the family's 1533-position model. The record is from RNAcentral.